This 253-nucleotide ribosomal RNA is filed under the name uncultured bacterium. Its description in RNAcentral is "partial 16S ribosomal RNA". It matches the Rfam family "Bacterial small subunit ribosomal RNA", at positions 524 to 776 of the family's 1533-position model. The record is from RNAcentral.
UACGGAGGGUGCAAGCGUUGUUCGGAAUCACUGGGCGUAAAGCGCGUGUAGGCGGCCUCCUCAGUCUGGUGUGAAAGCCCGGGGCUCAACCCCGGAAGUGCAUUGGAUACUGGGAGGCUGGAGUACCGGAGAGGAGGGUGGAAUUCCUGGUGUAGCGGUGAAAUGCGUAGAUAUCUGGAGGAACACCGGUGGCGAAGGCGGCAUCCUGGACCAACACUGACGCUGAGGAGCGAAAGCCAGGGGAGCAAACGGG